This 301-nucleotide ribosomal RNA is filed under the name uncultured bacterium. Its description in RNAcentral is "partial 16S ribosomal RNA". It matches the Rfam family "Bacterial small subunit ribosomal RNA", at positions 509 to 807 of the family's 1533-position model. The record is from RNAcentral.
CAGUAGCCACGGUAAUACGUAGGGUGCAAGCGUUAAUCGGAAUUACUGGGCGUAAAGCGUGCGCAGGCGGUUUUGUAAGACAGAGGUGAAAUCCCCGGGCUCAACCUGGGAACUGCCUUUGUGACUGCAAGGCUAGAGUACGGCAGAGGGGGAUGGAAUUCCGCGUGUAGCAGUGAAAUGCGUAGAUAUGCGGAGGAACACCGAUGGCGAAGGCAAUCCCCUGGGCCUGUACUGACGCUGAGGUACGAAAGCAUGGGGAGCAAACAGGAUUAGAUACCCCCGUAGUCCCUGUCUCUUAUAC